RNAcentral lists this transfer RNA (80 nucleotides) under bacterium. RNAcentral's name for it is "tRNA-Ile". It matches the Rfam family "tRNA". Rfam says of the family: Transfer RNA (tRNA) molecules are approximately 80 nucleotides in length. Their secondary structure includes four short double-helical elements and three loops (D, anti-codon, and T loops). The record is from RNAcentral.
ACACGCGUAGCUCAAGUUCGGUUUAGAGCACCCGCCUUAUAAGCGGGAGGUUGAUGGGUCAAAUCAAUCCGCGUGUACCA